RNAcentral lists this ribosomal RNA (432 nucleotides) under uncultured bacterium. RNAcentral describes it as "bacterial SSU rRNA". It matches the Rfam family "Bacterial small subunit ribosomal RNA", at positions 30 to 476 of the family's 1533-position model. The record is from RNAcentral.
AUUGAACGCUGGCGGCAUGCCUUACACAUGCAAGUCGAACGGCAGCACGGGAGCAAUCCUGGUGGCGAGUGGCGAACGGGUGAGUAAUAUAUCGGAACGUGCCCAGUCGUGGGGGAUAACGUAGCGAAAGCUACGCUAAUACCGCAUACGAUCUAUGGAUGAAAGCGGGGGAUCGCAAGACCUCGCGCGAUUGGAGCGGCCGAUAUCAGAUUAGGUAGUUGGUGAGGUAAAGGCUCACCAAGCCGACGAUCUGUAGCUGGUCUGAGAGGACGACCAGCCACACUGGGACUGAGACACGGCCCAGACUCCUACGGGAGGCAGCAGUGGGGAAUUUUUGGACAAUGGGCGCAAGCCUGAUCCAGCAAAUGCCGCGUGCAGGAUGAAGGCCUCGGGUUGGUAAACGUUAGCUUUUGUUACGGUAACGAGGACGGU